Cydia amplana is the source of this 369-nucleotide long non-coding RNA. RefSeq lists it as uncharacterized. NCBI's taxonomy places the organism in Eukaryota, Metazoa, Arthropoda, Insecta, Lepidoptera, Tortricidae. The record is from RefSeq and is a predicted model, not a curated record. The transcript has 3 exons.
UUUUUUAAGAGAAACAAAUGCGACGACUCGUCCUCCUCCUCCUCCUCCUCGUCAUCAUCAUCGUCAUCGUCGUCAUCUGAAGAAGAUGACAAGAGAUGUAAAAGCGGGCACGGCAAGAAGGAUGAUUCAUCGUCAUCCUCAUCCUCAUCUUCGUCGUCAUCCUCAUCGUCGUCUGAGGAAGACAGCAAGAACAACGAAGUGGAUUGUGAUGAUUCCAACGAAAAGUCGAGCCAUCACCACAAGAAGUCGAGGCACAUGAGGCGAUGCGGAAAGAACUAGUCGAAGAGAAUUUGGUGUCGAUUUUUAUCAGAUAACGCUGUUCACUGUCUACUACAAUUAAAGUUAUGCACCUCGUCAUUCGUUCAGUUU